RNAcentral lists this ribosomal RNA (496 nucleotides) under Alcanivorax sp. RNAcentral's name for it is "bacterial SSU rRNA". It matches the Rfam family "Bacterial small subunit ribosomal RNA", at positions 41 to 527 of the family's 1533-position model. The record is from RNAcentral. Lineage: Bacteria; Pseudomonadati; Pseudomonadota; Gammaproteobacteria; Oceanospirillales; Alcanivoracaceae.
GGGGGGGGCGGUACCUGCAGUCGAGCGGAAACGAUGGAGUGCUUGCACUCCAGGCGUCGAGCGGCGGACGGGUGAGUAACGCGUGAGAAUCUGCCCAUUAGUGGGGGAUAACCCGGGGAAACUCGGGCUAAUACCGCAUACGUCCUACGGGACAAAGCAGGGGACCUUCGGGCCUUGCGCUGAUGGAUGAGCUCGCGUCGGAUUAGCUUGUUGGUGAGGUAAAGGCUCACCAAGGCGACGAUCCGUAGCUGGUCUGAGAGGAUGAUCAGCCACACCGGGACUGAGACACGGCCCGGACUCCUACGGGAGGCAGCAGUGGGGAAUCUUGGACAAUGGGGGCAACCCUGAUCCAGCCAUGCCGCGUGUGUGAAGAAGGCCUUCGGGUUGUAAAGCACUUUCAGCAGGGAGGAAGGCUUUGGGCUAAUACCCUGGAGUACUUGACGUUACCUGCAGAAGAAGCACCGGCUAAUUUCGUGCCAGCGCCCGCGGUAAAAGG